AUUGAACGCUAGCGGGAUGCCUUACACAUGCAAGUCGAACGGAGUGGCGUACGGGUGAGUAAUGUAUCGGAACGUGCCCAGUAGCGGGGGAUAACUACGCGAAAGCGUAGCUAAUACCGCAUACUAUUGGAGCGGCCGCUGUCGGAUUAGCGAGUGGGUGGGGUAACGGCUAACCAAGGCGACGAGCCGUAGCUGUGUGGAGAGGACGACCAGCCACACUGGGACGGAGAAACGGCCCAAACUCCUACGGGAGGCAGCAGUGGGGAAUUUUGGACAAGGGGGGAAACCCUGAUCCAGCCAUCCCGCGUGUGCGAAGAAGGCCUUCGGGUUGUAAAGCACUUUUGGCAGGAAAGCGGUACCUACAGAAUAAGCACCGGCUAACUACGUGCCAGCAGCCGCGGUAAUUC
RNAcentral lists this ribosomal RNA (407 nucleotides) under uncultured bacterium. RNAcentral describes it as "partial 16S ribosomal RNA". It matches the Rfam family "Bacterial small subunit ribosomal RNA", at positions 30 to 526 of the family's 1533-position model. The record is from RNAcentral.